This 387-nucleotide long non-coding RNA is filed under the name Homo sapiens (human). RNAcentral describes it as "non-protein coding lnc-EVX1-14:14". The record is from RNAcentral. Lineage: Eukaryota; Metazoa; Chordata; Mammalia; Primates; Hominidae.
CUCCCUUGCUUGCUCAUGCCCCCUCACCCCUUUUAAUUUAAAUUACUCGUUUUAACUUAAAAACUUCUGGAUGUUUUAUUACCUUGGCAGCUUUUUCUCUGGAUUGACUAAAAAGGUCCUGAAUUCCAGCAGAAUGGCUGAAGCCAACCAGUCUCAAGACCUCAACCAAGGAACCAACCAACUCUGCACAGGAAUGCGGUUUCUUCAUCUCCCUGUCCCAGGAAUUCCCCCUUGCUUCUUGACCAAUCAGCAAUCCCCACAUUUUAGCCCUACCUGUUCAGACCCUUUACAAGCUCCAUCCCCAAACCCUGGAGGGAGGAGGAUUUGAAGGUUCCUCUGUCUCAUUUGACUGCCCUACAAUUAUUAAACUCUUUCUCUACUGCAACU